CGCGUCCACACGUCUCACUUCUGGAGCCUCAGGUUUCUCCCCUGGAAGACGGCGUGAGUCAGCAACAAGGCAGGAUUCUCAAGGGAACUGGAUUCCUUCGAUGGGGCAGUACUGUGUGCAUGGCUCUUCCUGACGCAGGGAUGGAACCUGCAUUUCCUGCAUUGCAGGCGGAUUCUUUACCACUUGAGCAACCUGGAAAGCCCACGUAUCCAUGUACACACGGGCAGCCACACCACGCCAGGAUGUGCAAGGCAGAGCUGCAAUCAAGGGCUUUAAAAUAAAGCAGCGCUCUUUCCUAGGACGUACACCUUCUGCCUCAGGGUUCGAGAGACACUGUGGCCGUGUACUUCCCCGCUGCUUGUUACUGCGGAAGCGCCUGUACGGACCUGCACACCUGGCCUGCUUAUCACCCAGGACACACGACGGGGACCACUUCACCUCCUGCGCUUCCCCAAGGAAUUCUCUGGAUGUGUUCAGAGAGGUUCUACCUUUGGUCGCGUGGAGACCUCAA
This is a long non-coding RNA of Cervus elaphus (red deer), 511 nucleotides long. RefSeq lists it as uncharacterized. The transcript has 4 exons. The record is from RefSeq and is a predicted model, not a curated record. NCBI's taxonomy places the organism in Eukaryota, Metazoa, Chordata, Mammalia, Artiodactyla, Cervidae.